UUCAGGAUCAGCAUGACGACCAUGGAGAGGACAUAAAUGCUGGCAUAGUACUGCCUGUGAGGAUUGUCCUUCAUGCUGCUGCUCACGAAGGGAAAAAGAUUGGAAAACACUGCUUUGAAACUGGGAGGAGGCCACUGAAGACUCCAUGCAGGAAGGAAGAACACAGGCGUCCCUGCAGCUGGACCGCCUCUGCCGUGGUGGGAACUGAUUUUUAAAAGGCACAGCUCCUUCAAGAACUCCACCUCCUGGCCCCAGCCUAACUGCAAGCUCCUCUCCUAUUCCUGGGGCUCCCACUCUCAUGC
Molecule: long non-coding RNA, 302 nt
Organism: Eptesicus fuscus (big brown bat)
Lineage: Eukaryota; Metazoa; Chordata; Mammalia; Chiroptera; Vespertilionidae
Exons: 4
Source: RefSeq, a predicted model, not a curated record